GCGGGCGUGGCGGAAUGGCAGACGCACCAGACUUAGGAUCUGGCGGGGCAACUCGUGGAGGUUCAACUCCUCUCGCCCGCACCA
RNAcentral lists this transfer RNA (84 nucleotides) under Negativicutes bacterium. RNAcentral's name for it is "tRNA-Leu". It matches the Rfam family "tRNA". Rfam says of the family: Transfer RNA (tRNA) molecules are approximately 80 nucleotides in length. Their secondary structure includes four short double-helical elements and three loops (D, anti-codon, and T loops). The record is from RNAcentral. Lineage: Bacteria; Bacillati; Bacillota; Negativicutes.